This 389-nucleotide ribosomal RNA is filed under the name Nodipecten subnodosus. RNAcentral describes it as "partial 16S ribosomal RNA". It matches the Rfam family "Bacterial large subunit ribosomal RNA", at positions 1857 to 2479 of the family's 2925-position model. The record is from RNAcentral. Lineage: Eukaryota; Metazoa; Mollusca; Bivalvia; Pectinida; Pectinidae.
GCCUUCCCGGUGAGUCUGCGGGCUUAAACGGACGCGGUAAAGCGUGCUAAGGUAGCUAAAUUAUGGCCUAUUAAUUGUAGGUCCUGUGAAUGGUUUGACGAGUCUUCAACUGUCUCUAGUUUUUUUGGUGAACUUGAAUUGGAUGUGCAAAUGCUUCCAUGGGUAAGAAAGACGAGAAGACCCCGUGAAGUUAGAAAUUUUGGUUGUUGGUGAGCUUUGUUGGGUGCAGGUUAGGCCACUUUAAGUGGUUUGAAAGAAAAGUGAACAGCGAUAGUUUUGGCUGGGGCAGCAAAGAAGCAAGGCUAGACUUCUUUAGUUUAAGGACAGGUGUGUGACGACCCACAAGUUUGUUGGUGUGAUUAGCAGAAGAAGUUACUCCGGGGAUAACA